UGCGUAGGUGGGUUGGUAAGUCCGUGGUGAAAUCCCCAAGCUUAACUUGGGAACUGCCGUGGAUACUAUCAAUCUUGAAUAUCGUUGAGGUAAGCGGAAUAUGUCAUGUAGCGGUGAAAUGCUUAGAUAUGACAUAGAACACCGAUAGCGGAGGCAGCUUACUAAGCGAUCAUUGACACUGAGGCACGAAAGCGUGGGGAGCAAACAGGAUUAGAUACCCUGGUAGUCCACGCCCUAAACGAUGAUUACUCGACAUACGCGAUACACAGUGUGUGUCUGAGCGAAAGCAUUAAGUAAUCCACCUGGGAAGUACGAUCGCAAGAUUGAA
Molecule: ribosomal RNA, 328 nt
Filed under: uncultured Bacteroidota bacterium
Lineage: Bacteria; Pseudomonadati; Bacteroidota
Description: bacterial SSU rRNA
Rfam family: Bacterial small subunit ribosomal RNA
Source: RNAcentral